GUUAAAUGCCUUUCUCAAGGUCACGACGGUGCAAAAACCACCGGGGAAAGAGGAUCUCAGGUCUCCGACCUUUCUGCACUGGAAAGGCAGCACGGCGCAACGUGCUCCGCUCUGCUCGAAAUCCCAACGCCACAAGGUUUUCGGGUUAAGGAUGGACACCCCGAAUGCUCUCCACCGAGCUCCACCGGACUUGGGUACCCCGUGGCGUUCCCGUCCGCACUCCCGCCGUCCCAGUCCGAGCGCCACUGCUCUGAGAGGGGCCAGUGAGGGUCACUUACCGUCGCUCUCCGCCCUGACGAGCAGGGACAUGCCCUUCAGCCUCUCCACGUAGCCGGAGGACACAUGGCCAGUACCCCGGUCGUCCCACUGCCGGUCCUCGUUGAGCGUGUAGACCUUCACCCGCCGUCGGGUGUCGGUCAUCGUGCCGGCCGGGGGCCCCGCCCGAGUGGCCCAGGGACAGUGUCCAGAAAAGGCGGGCGGCCGCAAACGGGGAACUCCGGGACCUCAGUGCCACCGCUGGCCGCCGCGGAGCUGCGCCGCCGCUCGCAUGGCCCGCUCCCGGGUCCGAGCCCCGGGCCGCCGCCUUCUCUCGUCUCCUUCUCCCCGGCGCUAUUGUCCAGGCCGAGCGAGCGCGGCCGCCCAGCAGCCCCGACAGGGAACGCGCAGCACUACGCAGCCUACCGGCCCGCCGUUCCAACGAGGUGCGGCUCGGUUCACAGACCCGCUCCGGCCUCCACCAUGACCUCCGCAGAGCCGCUUUCCCGCGCCGCCGCCUCCUCAGGCCGCCGCCGCCAUGUUUUCCUCCCUUGUACCUGGCCCAGCCGCUGCAGCAGGAAGCCCCGCUCCGCUCCUCCCGCUUAAAGCAUCCGAAGCCGGUGAGGUAGCACUUCCCGGGAGACUCCGAACGCCUCUGGCCACCCGAGAACCCCUGGCUCUUCUUAGAAGCCGCCUUCCCUACUCCGCCGCCUCUUCCGUCUUCCUCACAGAGCCAAAGCCGCCGCCAUCUUGGCUCGCCCCUCAAAAGCGGCGCGCGGGGCCACCUAGGCAGUAGCGGCAGGGGCGGCCCGCAAGCCCCACCACUUAAAGCGACAAGACGGGAGCCGGCAGCUUCGCUCCGGCCGAGGCCUUGCACCGAGGCGGGCGCGGAGCUGCGGGGGUGGCGGGAGCGGAGGAGGCGGGACGCGAGUCGCGCCGGUGACGGACCGGGACUCCCUCGCGCUGCCCUGCGCGUACUGUCGUGCAAGCGCGGGCUGCGUGUGCGUCCGUCGCACUUUGAAUUCGUCAUCACCUCGGCUCCGGGCGGGGAAGGGGUGUGGAGUCUGUUGGCGGCUUCUGGAGCCAGACUGGACUCUGAUCCCGGAGCUCGUCCUUUCCCGUGCGAGCCUUCUCCGGACGCUUUAGGGAGGACCUUUGCAGUCGGCCCUGGGGGCGCGGGCUGCUGGCGUCCUCCUCGUCCUCCCCCCGCCCUCCUCCUCCUCCUCCUCUUCUUCCCUUGGCCUGAAAUAGAGAAGUUUCUGAGAGAGGACCGUUUGGACCGCGAGGUUGGCGGGAUGCAGUGAGGCACGCAAUGGCCGGGCAAGUCUAAAACCCUCGACGCGGUGUUCACGCGUGGCACUGCUCCCCGGGAUCAUUCUGAGCACUCACCUCACAAUAAUCAGCGGUUAUCUCCCUUUCUCUGUCGGUUAUCAAAGCUGAUCGUCUGUAGCCCUAGGCUGGUUUGUUUGUUUUUUUAAACAAAAUAACAAAACACAUCUUGAAGGGCUUGCAAAGAUAAAUGCCGUACUGUAUGAAUAAGAUGAAAUUCUUUGUUUUUUUGUUUUUUUUGAAACACAGCCUCACAAUGUUGCUCUGACUGGCUGAAGCAACGUAUGCGAGAAGCUGGGAUCUUUCUUAACCCACACCAGAGACAAGUGCUCGCAAAGACAUACCUGAAAUCAUUCACCAACAAAACUCGGAAGCAUGUAAAAACAAAGCAGUUGCUGUUUCUAAAUACCAGAAUGCAAUCCUUUCAAGCAUCUAGAUGGAGCCCAUGAGCUCCAAGCAGAGCAGUAAAUGACACAACCUCGGGGUUCGACGUGUGAUAAGGUAUCCUGUAACUACUCUUUGUACCGCUGGGAUCUACCCUGCUUCACUGGAUGACAUGCAGCCUUUUCUCUUAGCAACUGCAUGAAUAAACAUCCAAGAGAACUUGUUUGUUUGGUUUAGUUUUUUGAGACAAGGUUUCUCUGUAUAGCCCUGGCUGCCCGGGAACUCACUCUGUAGACCAGGCUGGCCUCAAACUCAGAAAUCUGCCUGCCUCUGCCUCCUGAGGGCUGGGAUUAAAGGCGUGCGCCACCACACCCGGCGAUAACUUUUUUUUUUUAAAGAUUUAUUUUUAUGUGUAUCAGUUUGUCUGCGUGUAUGUAUGUGCACUAUGUGUAAGCCUGAUGCUCUUGGAGGCCAGAAGAGGAUGUUGGAUCACCUGUUAACUGUGAUUACAGGCAAUUGGGAACUGCAUGCGGAUGAUGAGAAGCAAGGCCUUGUCCUUUACAAGAGAAGCCUGUGGUUUAAACUGCUGAGCUGUCUUUCUAGUUCCAAAUACCUAAGAGGAGUCUAAAGUCCUUCUCAAAGGACCUUGAGAUAUCUUUUUUUGCUUGUUUUUUCAAGACAGGGUUUCUCUGUGUAGCCCUGGCUAUCCUGGAACUCACUCUGUAGACCAGGCUGGCCUCGAACUCAGAAAUCCGCCUGCCUCUGCCUCCUGAGGGCUGGGAUUAAAGGCGUGCGCCACCACUGCCUGGCCCUUGAGAUAUCUUAGUGAAUGAGGAAAGGCACUUAAACUGCUAAACCCAACCAAGUGAAUUUGAUCCUUGAAACUCACAUGAUGGAAGGAGAGAACCAAUCCCCUUACCUUGUUCUCUGACAGCUACACACCCCUCUCCCACAGAAAUAAAAUGUU
Molecule: long non-coding RNA, 2935 nt
Filed under: Mus musculus (house mouse)
Lineage: Eukaryota; Metazoa; Chordata; Mammalia; Rodentia; Muridae
Description: RIKEN cDNA D130020L05 gene, transcript variant 4 (D130020L05Rik)
Source: RNAcentral